Molecule: ribosomal RNA, 397 nt
Filed under: uncultured bacterium
Lineage: Bacteria
Description: partial 16S ribosomal RNA
Rfam family: Bacterial small subunit ribosomal RNA
Source: RNAcentral
AUACGUAGGGGGCGAGCGUUGUCCGGAAUGAUUGGGCGUAAGGGGCGCGUAGGCGGCGCGGGAAGUCUGGAGUGAAAGUCCUGCUUUCAUGGUGGGAGUUGCUUUGGAUACUGCCGCGCUUGAGUGCAGGAGAGGUUAUCGGAAUUCCCGGUGUAGCGGUGAAAUGCGUAGAGAUCGGGAGGAACACCAGUGGCGAAGGCGGGUAACUGGACUGCAACUGACGCUGAGGCGCGAAAGUGUGGGGAGCAAACAGGAUUAGAUACCCUGGUAGUCCACACUGUAAACGAUGAAUGCUAGGUGUAAGAGGUAUCGACCCCGUUUGUGCCGGAGUCAACACAAUAAGCAUUCCGCCUGGGGAGUACGGCCGCAAGGUUGAAACUCAAAGGAAUUGACGGGG